Molecule: ribosomal RNA, 449 nt
Filed under: uncultured bacterium
Lineage: Bacteria
Description: bacterial SSU rRNA
Rfam family: Bacterial small subunit ribosomal RNA
Source: RNAcentral
UCGAGAAUCUUUCGCAAUGGGCGAAAGCCUGACGAAGCGACGCCGUGUGAGCGAAGAAGGCCUUCGGGUUGUAAAGCUCUUUCGCUUGGGAACAAGAAAUGGGUACUAAUACUAUCCAGAUUUGAGGGUACUAGGUAAAGAAGCACCGGCUAACUCCGUGCCAGCAGCUGCGGUAAUACGGAGGGUGCAAGCAUUGAUCGGAAUUACUGGGCGUAAAGGGCGCGUAGGCGGACUGGAAAGUCAGAUGUGAAAUUCCGUGGCUCAACCACGGAGCUGCAUUUGAAACUUCCAGCCUGGAGCGUAGUUAGGGAAAACGGAAUUCCACGUGUAGCGGUGAAAUGCGUAGAUAUGUGGAAGAACACCAGUGGUGAAGACGGUUUUCUGGGCUAUUGCUGACGCUGAGGCGCGAAAGCUAGGGGAGCAAACAGGAUUAGAUACCCCUGUAGUCC